Molecule: ribosomal RNA, 724 nt
Filed under: uncultured organism
Description: bacterial SSU rRNA
Rfam family: Bacterial small subunit ribosomal RNA
Source: RNAcentral
CAUUAGGACCUGGAAAGCGGCGAAAGGGUGAGUAACACGUAGUUUACGUGCCCCGGGGUCCGGAAUAGCCACGGGAAACUGUGGGUAAUGCCGGAUAACAUCUUCGGGAUCAAAGGUGUGAUUCCGCCCUGGGAGCGGACUGCGUCCUACUAGCUUGUUGGUGGGGUAAUGGCCUACCAAGGCUCCGAUGGGUAGCGGGCGUGAGAGCGUGGCCCGCCACACUGGGACUGAGACACUGCCCAGACACCUACGGGUGGCUGCAGUCGAGAAUCUUCGGCAAUGCGGGAAAGCGUGACCGAGCGACGCCGCGUGUGGGAUGAAGGCCUUCGGGUUUUAACCCACUGUCGUAGGGGAGAAAGGCUCCGUGAAGAGCGGAGUUUGACCUAUCCUAGGAGGAAGGCCGGGCUAAGUUCGUGCCAGCAGCCGCGGUAAGACGAACCGGCCAAACGUUAUUCGGAAUUAUUGGGCUUAAAGGGUGCGUAGGCGGUGCGGUCAGUCGGGUGUGAAAUCCCUCGGCUCAACCGAGGAAUUGCGCCCGAUACUACCGUGCUUGAGGGAGACAGAGGUGAGCGGAACUGAUGGUGGAGCGGUGAAAUGCGUUGAUAUCAUCAGGAACACCAGUGGCGAAAGCGGCUCGCUGGGUCUCUUCUGACGCUGAGGCACGAAAGCUAGGGUAGCGAACGGGAUUAGAUACCCCGGUAGUCCUAGCCGUAAACGAUGAGCA